RNAcentral lists this transfer RNA (69 nucleotides) under Ictidomys tridecemlineatus (thirteen-lined ground squirrel). RNAcentral describes it as "Spermophilus tridecemlineatus (thirteen-lined ground squirrel) tRNA". It matches the Rfam family "tRNA". From Rfam's summary of the family: Transfer RNA (tRNA) molecules are approximately 80 nucleotides in length. Their secondary structure includes four short double-helical elements and three loops (D, anti-codon, and T loops). The record is from Rfam by way of RNAcentral. Lineage: Eukaryota; Metazoa; Chordata; Mammalia; Rodentia; Sciuridae. RNAcentral also lists the same sequence under 1 other name.
GGAGCUGUAGCUCAGUGGCAGAGCAUUUGCCUAGCAUGCAUGAGGCACUGGGUUUGGUCCUCAGCACCA